RNAcentral lists this transfer RNA (85 nucleotides) under Felis catus (domestic cat). It matches the Rfam family "tRNA". Rfam says of the family: Transfer RNA (tRNA) molecules are approximately 80 nucleotides in length. Lineage: Eukaryota; Metazoa; Chordata; Mammalia; Carnivora; Felidae. The record is from Rfam by way of RNAcentral.
ACCUGAGUGGCUCAGUUGGUUAAGCAUCUGACUUCAGCUCAGGUUAUGAUCGCACGGUUCGUGAGUUCAAGCCCCGCAUCAGGUU